This 242-nucleotide long non-coding RNA is filed under the name Sorghum bicolor (sorghum). RNAcentral describes it as "long non-coding RNA (SBIC_LNC001266)". The record is from RNAcentral. Lineage: Eukaryota; Viridiplantae; Streptophyta; Magnoliopsida; Poales; Poaceae.
CUGGUUGCACUGGUGCUGAUGUUCUUCGUUUCUCUUUUGGGUAUGGGGGAUCUCUGGUAGCUUUGCCUCCUCUAGUAGUUAUAUUCUUUACCUUUGCUAUUGGGUUGACUCGAAGUUGGUUGAUAUUUGUAUGCUGUCUCAAUGGCCCUUUGAUCUUCUUUGAACUUGGCCCUCUGGUCAAUCCAAUGGAGCAAAUUUUCCAUCUUCAUUGAUAAUGCAUUUACUUCUUCUGGUAUUUCUUC